GUGAAGUGAACCAUACAGUGAUAUAUAGAAUUAGGCUAGAAUACUAUUAAUAAGAGUUCAGCUAUUAUAAUUUUAUGAGUAUAGAUCUUUCUAUACUCAUAAGUUUUCGAUCGUUAGAUCUACUCCUUUGACCAUUUCCAUCUAUUAGAUCAUACUAUUCAACCAACCAACCAGUCAACCCUAGGAGGAACCACUAUUAGCCUAACAAAAAUCAUUAUUAUCCUAACCGCACAUUUCUUAAUUUAACGGUCAAAAAUCUAUGACUACAAAAGAGUCUAUACUUAUAAGAGUGUAGUAGUCCUGGCCCUAUGAAUAGUAUUUGGGCUCUUUGUUAUCAAAUCUUAAACUUUUCGACGAAAAAUUACAGGGUUAAGAUAAUAGUGAUCCCCCAAGGUUUGGAAUUAAAUAGGUGGUUGGUCGAAUAGUAUAAUUUAAAAAAUAAAAUUGAUUAAAGUAUAGAUCUAACAGCUAAGCGCUCAAAUAUUAUUAAUAGUAUUCCAGCUCAACUUAGUGAUGUAUGUAUAUUAAUAAUUAAAAUAAAUGAAAUAUUAAGGGAUUACCAAAAUUUGUCUUUUAAUUUUUAUUGUUUGGG
RNAcentral lists this long non-coding RNA (592 nucleotides) under Ananas comosus (pineapple). RNAcentral's name for it is "long non-coding RNA (ACOM_LNC024862)". The record is from RNAcentral. Lineage: Eukaryota; Viridiplantae; Streptophyta; Magnoliopsida; Poales; Bromeliaceae.